This 373-nucleotide ribosomal RNA is filed under the name uncultured bacterium. RNAcentral's name for it is "bacterial SSU rRNA". It matches the Rfam family "Bacterial small subunit ribosomal RNA", at positions 523 to 898 of the family's 1533-position model. The record is from RNAcentral.
AUACGGAGGAUCCGAGUGUUAUCCGGAUUUAUUGGGUUUAAAGGGUGCGCAGGCGGAAGAUUAAGUCGGCGGUGAAAUUUUGCAGCUCAACUGUAAAAGUGCCUUCGAAACUGGUUUUCUUGAGUGUAGAUGAAGUAGGCGGAAUUUGUGGUGUAGCGGUGAAAUGCUUAGAUAUCACAAAGAACUCCGAUUGCGCAGGCAGCUUACUAAACUACAACUGACGCUCAGGCACGAAGGCGUGGGUAUCGAACAGGAUUAGAUACCCUGGUAGUCCACGCAGUAAACGAUGAUUACUCGCUGUUUGCGAUAUACAGUAAGCGGCCAAGCGAAAGCGUUAAGUAAUCCACCUGGGGAGUACGUUCGCAAGAAUGAA